AUGCCGAUGGGCGGUGGUGACCACCGAACCGCCAGCCCCCGGUGCUUUCYGCCUCCCUGGACCUGCGCGUGGGUGCAAAGCGCGCGCAGUGCCCGGCGUCGCCCUCCGGCCCUGGCCCCGGACACGGGAGAUGCCCAGCUCCUCUCCUGGCUUCCCUGCUGGGGGGAAGCACCAGCCGGGUGGCUAAAUGCCCCCGGGCAGGGCAGGAGGGGGAGGCCGGGGGCACCUGGCCCAGCAUCUGCCCUGGGGUGGCAGCGGCACAGGUGUCUCCUGUCCGUCCCCUGCGUGUCUAGCUUGUUUUUGUGUCUCGGUUUCAUGCCACCCUGCCUCUCCUCCCCCCACCCGGUUUGCCGCGGGAUUCCCCUGGCCACAUCCGCGUCGCUGUUGCAGGCAAGGACACACGUGUCGGCGAAGGGCCCACGGUCGUCUCGCGCGGCGGCGAGGCCGGGGCUCUGCCUCGGCCCAGCCCGGAGGGGAGAGGGUCCGUGGGAGCCCUGCAGCGCCGUGCCGGAGAGGGUGGCACCGCGCGGGGGCUCCUCUGCGCCGCCGCGAGGCACGCGAGAGCGUGCGCGUGUGCGUGCGCAGGACCGCCGUGGGCACGUCCCCGGGGAGCACUGUGCGCCCUCGCGGCGUCAGGGAGAUGCAGCGGCCCCGGGGCCCCUCGCCCGGCCCCCCGGGGCCCGCCGGGGGGAGGAUGGGGCCGGGGGACCGUUAUCAGCCCGCCUGCAGGCUGCGGCUGCGGUUUCCUGCUGUUGCAGGAGGGGGAGGGCGCCGGGGGGGCCCUGGCUGCGCCGAGCCCCACCUGGGGCAGGGCGGCACGGUGGCGCGCAGCCCGUCCCGCCGCGGGCAGGGCGGCCGGACCCCGUCGGCGCUGUCAAACCGGGGUCCCCGCUGCUGCUCGCCCCCUUCCCUUGCGAGCGGGUGGCCGUCGCGGGGCAAACACGGACGUUGCGUCGCGGCUUAAUCUCCCGUGCCCCAGAUGCCAGCCCCUGCCCUGCUCCCGUCCCACCCUGCCGCGGGCCCCCGAUAACGCCCUGCCCUCUCGCCGCCGCGCGGGAGGGCACCGCUCUGGCGCCUCUGCUCCGGCACGCGCUGUGCCUGGGGCCGGCGUGUGCGCCGCAGACGUCAACGGGCCAGGAGUUUCCCCAGCGAAGGCUCUGGGCAGGGCGAGCGGGGCUGGGCGGCCGGUCCCGGCGGGCGCUAGGCCUGGAGCUCCGGGACGGGCGGGCGGCGGAGCGCCUGGCGCCCCGUCCGGCAGCGGCUGCAUCCCUGUUCGGCCCAGCUGGCAGAGAGGCGGCAGCGGUUGGGCGGGAAGGGCACGCGUGUUAG
This 1329-nucleotide long non-coding RNA is filed under the name Apteryx haastii (Great spotted kiwi). RNAcentral's name for it is "lncRNA (ENSAHAG00000006816.1)". Lineage: Eukaryota; Metazoa; Chordata; Aves; Apterygiformes; Apterygidae. The record is from RNAcentral.